Molecule: ribosomal RNA, 376 nt
Filed under: uncultured bacterium
Lineage: Bacteria
Description: bacterial SSU rRNA
Rfam family: Bacterial small subunit ribosomal RNA
Source: RNAcentral
UACGUAGGGGGCAAGCGUUGUCCGGAUUCACUGGGCGUAAAGCGCGUGUAGGCGGCCUCUCAAGUCGGGUGUGAAAGCCCGGGGCUCAACCCCGGGAUGCCGCUCGAAACUGGGAGGCUUGAGGACGGAAGAGGGGAGUGGAAUUCCUGGUGUAGCGGUGAAAUGCGUAGAGAUCAGGAGGAACACCCGUGGCGAAGGCGGCUCCCUGGUCCGUUUCUGACGCUGAGACGCGAAAGCGCGGGGAGCGAACGGGAUUAGAUACCCCGGUAGUCCGCGCCGUAAACGAUGGUCACUAGGUGUCCGCGGUAUCGACCCCGCGUGUGCCGGCGCUAACGCAUUAAGUGACCCGCCUGGGGAGUACGGCCGCAAGGUUGAA